UACGUAGGGUGCGAGCGUUAAUCGGAAUUACUGGGCGUAAAGCGUGCGCAGGCGGUGAUUCAAGUUGGAUGUGUAAUCCCCGAGCUCAACUUGGGAACUGCAUCCAAGACUGGAUUGCUAGAGUGCUGGAGAGGGUGGUGGAAUUCCUCGUGUAGCGGUGAAAUGCGUAGAGAUGAGGAGGAACACCAGUGGCGAAGGCGGCCACCUGGACAGUAACUGACGCUGAGGCGCGAAAGUGUGGGGAGCAAACAGGAUUAGAACCUCCGU
RNAcentral lists this ribosomal RNA (267 nucleotides) under uncultured bacterium. RNAcentral describes it as "partial 16S ribosomal RNA". It matches the Rfam family "Bacterial small subunit ribosomal RNA", at positions 524 to 790 of the family's 1533-position model. The record is from RNAcentral.